ACUUGAUACAAGUACUCUAAAAAUGGAACAAUGUAGUAAAGGUCAGCAUGACCUCUGCUCAAGUAUAACAUGCACAUUCUUGAGGCAUUCUAUAUUUGU
RNAcentral lists this small nuclear RNA (99 nucleotides) under Notamacropus eugenii (tammar wallaby). Lineage: Eukaryota; Metazoa; Chordata; Mammalia; Diprotodontia; Macropodidae. The record is from RNAcentral.